This 870-nucleotide long non-coding RNA is filed under the name Salmo salar (Atlantic salmon). RNAcentral describes it as "lncRNA (ENSSSAG00000116197.1)". The record is from RNAcentral. Lineage: Eukaryota; Metazoa; Chordata; Actinopteri; Salmoniformes; Salmonidae.
AAUGCAAGGAAGUUGACAUGUCAUCACUUCAUUUUUUUGCGCCUGCGCAUAAAUCUGAGAAGCGUGAGUUUGUCAUCUAUUGUUUAUCUAGACAUAGGAUAGGUUGUGUGAAAAUAUUACUGAUGUUUAACGUUAAAAAUGGACCAAAAGAUUAAUGCUAAACAACGUUUGACAUGUUUGAACGAACGUAAAUAGAUUAUUUACUAGGUUUUUUAGCUUUUCGGCGUGAUUUUACACCCCCCCCCCCCACCACGUUUUGUGGGAGCAUAAUGAACGCUAACUACUUGGUGUUAUUUGGACAUAAAUUAUGAACUUUGUCAAAAGAAACCACAUUUGUUCCGGACCUGGGAUGCCUUUCGGACCUGGGAUUCCUGGCAGUGCCUUCUGAUGGAGAUAAUCAAAGCUGCUCACAUCAGCACUCUGUUGGAGACAGUGGACAUCCUGUUGGAUCACAUUCAUCUGUGAAGUCCCGAUCGCCAGCUGACAUCACGUGGACAUAGAACAACCACCCCAUCCCAGCCUCAGAUUUAAAAUCCCCACCAACAUAAGGCUACUGAUUGAGUCCAAGGCCGUGUUGCCCUGUGUCACGUUAGGAAACCCCAAAUCCAGAUGAUCUCCUGGAUAACAGAUGAUGCUUUUAUACAGGUGGCGAAUCGCAUCUCUGCAUGUGUGGCAGACAUAUCAGUGUGGAUGACGGAUCACCACCUCAAGCUGAACCUCGGCAAGACGGAGCUGCUCUUCCUCCCGGGGAAGGACUGCCCGUUCCAUGAUCUCGCCAUCACGGUUGACAACUCCCUUGUGUCCUCCUCCCAGAGUGCUAAGAGCCUCGGCGUGACCCUGGACAACACCCUGUCGUUCUCCACUAACAUC